Molecule: long non-coding RNA, 603 nt
Filed under: Helianthus annuus (common sunflower)
Lineage: Eukaryota; Viridiplantae; Streptophyta; Magnoliopsida; Asterales; Asteraceae
Description: hypothetical non coding rna
Source: RNAcentral
AGGGCUCACUUGUUAUCUUCUCCCACAUAAAUUAACCACCAACCCCACCGCCCCCCUUUCUUCUCCGGUGAAAUAGCCCCCGUUCUCGCCGCACCCACGUACCAACCCCUCCCCUCCCUAUCAUCUCCUACAGCAAACUCCGACCUACUCCGCCGUCUAUCAUCUCCUUCAGCAAACUCCGACGACCUACUCCGCCGUUCUCCUCCCCUCGCCAGUGCUCAUCUUCCUCUUCUUUGAAAAUACGCAGAGAGCUUGUUGAAUUGUAGGUGUUUGUAGUGUGGUAGCAAAGAUGAAUGGAUUUGAUAUGUUGAAAUCUUUAAUUCUGGGACUUAAAAGUUAGGGGUGCCAGAGCUUGGAAAGUGUUCGGUGAGUAUCGUGCAGAUUAAUACAUAUAUCAGAUUUUAAAGAUAUAAGUUUGUACAAUCUCACUGGUAGUUUGAAAACAACUGUUAUACAAUUUUGAUUUAUUUUUUAGAUGAUCCAGAGAUUGCAUUUGAUUCUAGAAAUUUCAUUCGUAUUUAAUUUCUUUCUGAUGUGAACUGUGACCAUGUUGUUUAGUAAGUCAUGAAGAAUCUUGCUUUUCCUUUGUGAAAUUGAUUGAUU